This 515-nucleotide ribosomal RNA is filed under the name Myospila femorata. RNAcentral's name for it is "partial 16S ribosomal RNA". The stretch from base 386 to 515 matches the Rfam family "Bacterial large subunit ribosomal RNA", at positions 2473 to 2602 of the family's 2925-position model. The record is from RNAcentral. Lineage: Eukaryota; Metazoa; Arthropoda; Insecta; Diptera; Muscidae.
GUCUUUUUGAUUUUUUUUUAAAGUCUAGCCUGCCCACUGAAUUUUUAAAUGGCCGCAGUAUACUAACUGUGCAAAGGUAGCAUAAUCAUUAGUCUUUUAAUUGAAGGCUGGUAUGAAUGGUUGGACGAGAUAUUAACUGUUUCAUAAAAAUUUAAAUUAGAAUUUUAUUUUUUAGUUAAAAAGCUAAAAUAAAUUUAAAAGACGAGAAGACCCUAUAAAUCUUUAUAUUUUUAAUUAUUAUUAUUUUGAGGAUUUUUUUUGUAAUAAUAAUUUAUAAUAUUUUAUUGGGGUGAUAUUAAAAUUUAAUAAACUUUUAAUUAUUGUAUUCAUUAAUUUAUGAACUAUUGAUCCAUUAUUAUUGAUUAAAAAUUUAAGUUACUUUAGGGAUAACAGCGUAAUUUUUUUGGAGAGUUCUUAUCGAUAAAAAAGAUUGCGACCUCGAUGUUGGAUUAAGAGAUAAUUUUAGGUGUAGCCGCUUAAAAUUUAAGUCUGUUCGACUUUUAGAUUCUUACGUG